RNAcentral lists this ribosomal RNA (254 nucleotides) under uncultured bacterium. RNAcentral describes it as "partial 16S ribosomal RNA". It matches the Rfam family "Bacterial small subunit ribosomal RNA", at positions 524 to 776 of the family's 1533-position model. The record is from RNAcentral.
UACGAAGGGGGGCUAGCGUUGUCCGGAAUUAUUGGGCGUAAAGCGCGCGCAGGCGGCCUUUUAAGUCUGAUGUGAAAGCCCACGGCUCAACCGUGGAAGGUCAUUGGAAACUGAAAGGCUUGAGUACAGAAGAGGAAAGCGGAAUUCCACGUGUAGCGGUGAAAUGCGUAGAGAUGUGGAGGAACACCAGUGGCGAAGGCGGCUUUCUGGUCUGUAACUGACGCUGAGGCGCGAAAGCGUGGGGAGCAAACAGG